This 484-nucleotide ribosomal RNA is filed under the name uncultured bacterium. RNAcentral's name for it is "partial 16S ribosomal RNA". It matches the Rfam family "Bacterial small subunit ribosomal RNA", at positions 30 to 507 of the family's 1533-position model. The record is from RNAcentral.
AUUGAACGCUCGCGGGAUGCUUUACACAUGCAAGUCGAACGGCAGCGCGGACUUCGGUCUGGCGGCGAGUGGCGAACGGGUGAGUAAUGUAUCGGAACGUGCCCAGUAGCGGGGGAUAACUACGCGAAAGCGUAGCUAAUACCGCAUACGCCCUACGGGGGAAAGCAGGGGAUCGUAAGACCUUGCACUAUUGGAGCGGCCGUUAUCGGAUUAGCUAGUUGGUGAGGUAACGGCUCACCAAGGCGACGAUCCGUAGCUGGUUUGAGAGGACGACCAGCCACACUGGGACUGAGACACGGCCCAGACUCCUACGGGAGGCAGCAGCGGGGAAUUUUGGACAAUGGGGGCAACCCUGAUCCAGCCAUCCCGCGUGUGCGAUGAAGGCCUUCGGGUUGUAAAGCACUUUUGGCAGGAAAGAAACGUCGCGGGCUAAUACCCCGUGGAACUGACGGUACCUGCAGAAUAAGCACCGGCUAACUACGUG